CCUACGGGUGGGCAGCAGUGGGGGAUAUUGGACAAUGGGGGGAACCCUGAUCCAGCGACGCCGCGUGAGUGAAGAAGUAUCUCGGUAUGUAAAGCUCUAUCAGCAGGGACGAAGAAAUGACGGUACCUGAGUAAGAAGCCCCGGCUAAAUACGGGCCAGCAGCAGCGGUAAUACGUAGGGGGCAAGCGUUAUCCGGAAUUACUGGGUGUAAAGGGAGCGUAGACGGUGAUGUAAGUCUGGAGGGAAGGGCGGGGGCCCAAGCCCCGGACUGCUCUGGAAAAUAUGUGACUGGAGGGCAGGAGAGGUGAGAGGAAUUCCUAGUGUAGCGGGGAAAUGCGUAGAUAUUAGGAGGAACACCAGUGGCGAAGGCGGCUCACGGGACUGUAACUGACGUUGAGGCACGAAAGCGUGGGGAGCAAACAGGAUUAGAUACCCCAGUAGUC
RNAcentral lists this ribosomal RNA (443 nucleotides) under uncultured bacterium. RNAcentral describes it as "partial 16S ribosomal RNA". It matches the Rfam family "Bacterial small subunit ribosomal RNA", at positions 338 to 795 of the family's 1533-position model. The record is from RNAcentral.